Molecule: ribosomal RNA, 464 nt
Filed under: uncultured bacterium
Lineage: Bacteria
Description: bacterial SSU rRNA
Rfam family: Bacterial small subunit ribosomal RNA
Source: RNAcentral
GCUUAACACAUGCAAGUCGAACGGAGUUUUAACGGAAGUUUCGGAUGGAAGUUAAAACUAGUGGCGGACGGGUGAGUAACGCGUGGGUAACCUGCCUCAUACAGGGGGAUAACAGUUAGAAUGACUGCUAACACCGCAUAAUAUAGCGAAACCGCAUGAUUUUGCUAUCAAAUAUUUAUAGGUAUGAGAUGGGCCCGCGUCUGAUUAGCUAGUUGGUGGGGUAAAAGCCUACCAAGGCGACGAUCAGUAGCCGGCUUGAGAGAGUGACCGGCCACAUGGGACUGAGACACGGCCCAAACUCCUACGGGAGGCAGCAGUGGGGAAUAUUGGACAAUGGGGGAAACCCUGAUCCAGCCGACGCCGCGUGAGUGAAGAAGUAUUUCGGUAUGUAAAGCUCUAUCAGCAGGGAAGAUAAUGACAGUACCUGACUAAGAAGCCCCGGCUAACUACGUGCCAGCCGCCGC